GACGAACGCUGGCGGCGUGCUUAACACAUGCAAGUCGAGCGGUAAGGCCCAGCUUUGGUUGGGUACACGAGCGGCGAACGGGUGAGUAACACGUGGGUGACCUGCCUUCAGCUUCGGGAUAAGCCUGGGAAACUGGGUCUAAUACCGGAUAUGACCUUGGCCCGCAUGGGUUGGGGUGGAAAGCCUGGUUGUGAUGACUUGGUGGCUGGGGAUGGGCCCGCGGCCUAUCAGCUUGUUGGUGGGGUGAUGGCCUACCAAGGCGA
This 263-nucleotide ribosomal RNA is filed under the name uncultured Actinomycetes bacterium. Its description in RNAcentral is "uncultured actinobacterium partial 16S ribosomal RNA". It matches the Rfam family "Bacterial small subunit ribosomal RNA", at positions 28 to 276 of the family's 1533-position model. The record is from RNAcentral. Lineage: Bacteria; Bacillati; Actinomycetota; Actinomycetes.